UGAAGCAUAUUGAGAACAAGUAUGCUUUUCAGGAGGCCUUGGACAAUCUAGGAGACAAACCUAUAGUAGUUGAUUUCUCAGCCACGUGUUGCAAGCUUUACAAAAUAAUCGAGCCUUUCAUUCCCUCUCUGCAAAGCAUUCCAAGAUGGUGUUGCUUGGAGUAGACAUGGAAGACUGUCAGGAAGUUGCUUCAGAGUGUGAAGUUAAAUGCAUGCCAAUUUUUGAGUUUUUUUUAAAGGACAAAAGGUGUGUAAAUUUUCUAAUAAGAAAAAGCUUGAAGUCACUAUUAAUAAAU
Molecule: long non-coding RNA, 295 nt
Filed under: Homo sapiens (human)
Lineage: Eukaryota; Metazoa; Chordata; Mammalia; Primates; Hominidae
Description: non-protein coding lnc-DEPDC1-3:1
Source: RNAcentral